RNAcentral lists this ribosomal RNA (1404 nucleotides) under uncultured bacterium. RNAcentral describes it as "bacterial SSU rRNA". It matches the Rfam family "Bacterial small subunit ribosomal RNA". The record is from RNAcentral.
GGCGAAUGAAUUUACCGGCCGCGAAUCGCCCUUAGAGUUUGAUCCUGGCUCAGGACGAACGCUGGCGGCGCGCCUAACACAUGCAAGUCGAACGAGCGAGAGAGAGCUUGCUUUCUCAAGCGAGUGGCGAACGGGUGAGUAACGCGUGAGGAACCUGCCUCAAAGAGGGGGACAACAGUUGGAAACGACUGCUAAUACCGCAUAAGCCCACAGCUCGGCAUCGAGCAGAGGGAAAAGGAGCAAUCCGCUUUGAGAUGGCCUCGCGUCCGAUUAGCUAGUUGGUGAGGUAACGGCCCACCAAGGCAACGAUCGGUAGCCGGACUGAGAGGUUGAACGGCCACAUUGGGACUGAGACACGGCCCAGACUCCUACGGGAGGCAGCAGUGGGGAAUAUUGCACAAUGGGGGAAACCCUGAUGCAGCGACGCCGCGUGGAGGAAGAAGGUCUUCGGAUUGUAAACUCCUGUUGUUGAGGAAGAUAAUGACGGUACUCAACAAGGAAGUGACGGCUAACUACGUGCCAGCAGCCGCGGUAAAACGUAGGUCACAAGCGUUGUCCGGAAUUACUGGGUGUAAAGGGAGCGCAGGCGGGAAGACAAGUUGGAAGUGAAAUCUAUGGGCUCAACCCAUAAACUGCUUUCAAAACUGUUUUUCUUGAGUAGUGCAGAGGUAGGCGGAAUUCCCGGUGUAGCGGUGGAAUGCGUAGAUAUCGGGAGGAACACCAGUGGCGAAGGCGGCCUACUGGGCACCAACUGACGCUGAGGCUCGAAAGUGUGGGUAGCANACAGGAUUAGAUACNCUGGUAGUCCACACCGUAAACGAUGAUUACUAGGUGUUGGAGGAUUGACCCCUUCAGUGCCGCAGUUAACACAAUAAGUAAUCCACCUGGGGAGUACGACCGCAAGGUUGAAACUCAAAGGAAUUGACGGGGGCCCGCACAAGCAGUGGAGUAUGUGGUUUAAUUCGACGCAACGCGAAGAACCUUACCAAGUCUUGACAUCCCUUGACGAACAUAGAAAUAUGUUUUCUCUUCGGAGCAAGGAGACAGGUGGUGCAUGGUUGUCGUCAGCUCGUGUCGUGAGAUGUUGGGUUAAGUCCCGCAACGAGCGCAACCCUUACUGUCAGUUACUACACAAGAGGACUCUGGCAGGACUGCCGUUGACAAAACGGAGGAAGGUGGGGAUGACGUCAAAUCAUCAUGCCCUUUAUGACUUGGGCUACACACGUACUACAAUGGCGUUAAACAAAGAGAAGCAAGACCGCGAGGUGGAGCAAAACUCAGAAACAACGUCCCAGUUCGGACUGCAGGCUGCAACUCGCCUGCACGAAGUCGGAAUUGCUAGUAAUCGUGGAUCAGCAUGCCACGGUGAAUACGUUCCNCGGGCCAUUGUACACACCGCCCGUC